GACGAACGCUGGCGGCGUGCCUAAUACAUGCAAGUCGAACGCUUCUUUCCUCCCGAGUGCUUGCACUCAAUUGGAAAGAGGAGUGGCGGACGGGUGAGUAACACGUGGGUAACCUACCCAUCAGAGGGGGAUAACACUUGGAAACAGGUGCUAAUACCGCAUAACAGUUUAUGCCGCAUGGCAUAAGAGUGAAAGGCGCUUUCGGGUGUCGCUGAUGGAUGGACCCGCGGUGCAUUAGCUAGUUGGUGAGGUAACGGCUCACCAAGGCCACGAUGCAUAGCCGACCUGAGAGGGUGAUCGGCCACACUGGGACUGAGACACGGCCCAGACUCCUACGGGAGGCAGCAGUGGGAAUCUUCGGCAAUGGACGAAAGUCUGACCGAGCAACGCCGCGUGAGUGAAGAAGGUUUUCGGAUCGUAAAACUCUGUUGUUAGAGAAGAACAAGGACGUUAGUAACUGAACGUCCCCUGACGGUAUCUAACCAGAAAGCCACGGCUAACUACGUG
Molecule: ribosomal RNA, 507 nt
Filed under: uncultured bacterium
Lineage: Bacteria
Description: partial 16S ribosomal RNA
Rfam family: Bacterial small subunit ribosomal RNA
Source: RNAcentral